This 402-nucleotide ribosomal RNA is filed under the name uncultured bacterium. RNAcentral's name for it is "bacterial SSU rRNA". It matches the Rfam family "Bacterial small subunit ribosomal RNA", at positions 355 to 774 of the family's 1533-position model. The record is from RNAcentral.
UAGGGAAUAUUGGUAAUGUGCGAAAGCGCGAACCAGCAACGCCGCGUGCACGAUGAAGGCCUUCGGGUCGUAAAGUGCUUUUAGAGAGGAUGAGGAAGGACAGUACUUUCUGAAUAAGCCUCGGCUAACUACGUGCCAGCAGCCGCGGUAAAACGUAGGAGGCUAGCGUUAUCCGGAUUUACUGGGCGUAAAGCGCAUGCAGGUGGUUUUGCAAGUUGGAUGUGAAAGCUCCUGGCUUAACUGGGAGAGGUCGUUCAAUACUUUCGAGCUAGAGGAUGGGAGAGGGAGGUGGAAUUCCGGGUGUAGUGGUGAAAUGCGUAGAUAUCCGGAGGAACACCUGUGGCGAAGGCGGCCUCCUGGCCCAUUUCUGACGCUCAGACGCGAAAGCUAGGGUAGCAAACG